CUUCCAGCUCGUGCGUGCCUACAAAACUGGAACACUGGACAUCUUCAGCUCGAGAGUGUCAAACUGGACACACUGCCGGGGCGUGCGAGAAGAAAUCAAUGUUCUGACUCGGGGUAUCGGUGAAGAGGACACCACAACAUUUCUGCCUCAGAGCCUUUGUUCCCGUGAUGAUAGUCAAGAUUUUUCUAGCAGAUCUUGUCACGCCAUCCUGACAACGAAUCCAGCCUACACUUCGAUCACAACCCUAUGAACCUAUCUCGACGUGAUGUUUGCUUGAAUAAAGGAAAAAUAGGUACACAAGGGGGCAAGCUGGUGUGACGCUGAACUUCUGUCUACUUGGUUUCUCUCAAGCUCGAGAAGUACUACAACCGAGAUACGGAAAUGUCACCCUAUAAGAAAUCUACUGCCAGCUAUCCGCUGGUUUGCAGGCACUGGGGAUAAAGACGGUGACCAGG
Ornithodoros turicata is the source of this 455-nucleotide long non-coding RNA. RefSeq lists it as uncharacterized. Lineage: Eukaryota; Metazoa; Arthropoda; Arachnida; Ixodida; Argasidae. The transcript is spliced from 4 exons. The record is from RefSeq and is a predicted model, not a curated record.